CAGCAACCCCCGGAGCUGCCGGUGAGCCCGCGGCACGCUCUGAAUUAUGCUCACAUUGCUGAGAGGAUGGGUCACAUUUUUGGGAAUCUGCCCUGACCUCCUCUGGUGAUGCUCUGGCUUCCUGAGGAUGGAGACAUGGAACAAAUUCUUGCCCAGACUUGAGGAACUUUACGACACUGGAUGAUGAAAAAGCUCCCGAAUCCUUGCAAAUGGGGCCUUGCCUGGUGGACGCCCCUCCAGGAGGUGGGAUGGGCACAAGGUGAUGGUGUGAGCAGCACAUCCUGGGGGAAAUGGGACACAAAGCUGGAGGAGAAAGCGCUCUGGAUCUCCCCCAUCGCUUCUGAAGCUCUGCCUCAUGGUGACAGCAGGAGCAGCUCCAGCACAAAUCCUUGCUGUGCUCCUUGCCUCGGGGACAACAGGGUUUGCAGAUUUAGAAAUGCAGGAAGAAAAGAUUGCACGUGGGCAGCUUCAGCCCUUCCAAGGACCUUCUGGCUGAGCUGGUGGGAAACUUCAGCUUCUCAAACGAGACAAAGCAAGGUGAAAACCACUUGAUUUGUCCAUCUCCAUCCCCAGCAGCUCCUGGGAGGAAGGGGGAGCUGGGUCAAGAGGGGCAAAGCACGGUGCUGAUGGACAAAUCCCUUGCACAGGCUGGGGUUGGGCCACACUGGGCAUUCCAGACCUGGCACAGCUCUGGAGGUGCUGGAACAGUGUGAGACACCCCGUGAGGCUCUGCCAGUGCAGGGCUGGGAGUGCUCUGUGUGAAACAGGAGCAGGAUGCACAGACCUUCCACGCCUAUUGGAAACAGAUUUUUCCUUGACACACAAGCACAGAAGAUUCCUCUGGAAUGAGAGCCCUGACCAAGGCUGGGCGGCAGAGAAGGGUUUCCAGCUCCUUGCCGAGAGGAAGGAAAUCCGCCCGUGGGACAGACGAUAUUGUCUUUUGUUUGACUCUGCAACGCUGAUUAAUGAAUGCUUUUUUGAUUUCACAAGAAUUUCUGGGGUUUGUAAACUUUCUUCAGAGAUUUUUCUGGGAAAAAUGGAAACCGUGCUCGGGGUUCUCCUUCUGCAAACAAACCACUCAACGUUUUCAUUCAAAUCAAAAUUUUCCACGGAUAGUAAUGGGGAUUUCUCAGCCAGUAUCAUAAACAUGGUAGGCAGUGCAUUCUGAUCUAAAUAAAAUUUGUGUUUCAGCAGCA
This 1196-nucleotide long non-coding RNA is filed under the name Parus major (Great Tit). RNAcentral describes it as "lncRNA (ENSPMJG00000011824.1)". The record is from RNAcentral. Lineage: Eukaryota; Metazoa; Chordata; Aves; Passeriformes; Paridae.